RNAcentral lists this long non-coding RNA (1063 nucleotides) under Junco hyemalis (dark-eyed junco). Its description in RNAcentral is "lncRNA (ENSJHYG00000003354.1)". The record is from RNAcentral. Lineage: Eukaryota; Metazoa; Chordata; Aves; Passeriformes; Passerellidae.
GUUUACUGGUCUGACAAACAUUUGCCAACCAUCAAACAAGCUAUUUAAAUUAACUGUAAGAGUUAUAGUUAAUAGAAUUUAAACUGAUUUUUAAAAAUGCAUUUCAGAAUAAAACUCAUGCUUAAAAUAUUAAUGUUUAGCUAAAGGGAUUGUAAUUUGUUCCAAAGAGAAGCUGCAGUAUGGGAUACGUGGCUUUGGUGGCAUUCCUUAACCACAAGAAAUUUGGCUUGGUAGGAUAUUCCCCCAGAGCUUCUGUUACAGUUAUUCCCCAGACUCAUUUCUUCUCUGCCCAAUGCUUCAGAUUCCAACCUGUCAGAAUCAUGGAAAGGGAUUUUGAAGCUGAAACACGACCUUCAAGUCAACACAAGAGUGUGUCCCAACUGAGAGACACAAAACCAUCCCCUCCCAAACAAGCAACUGAUCUCCAUGAGGCUAACCAGAAACUUAAGGAACCAGAUGGAGGACCACAAGCAGACAGUGCCAUCACAUCUCCCAUCUUGGAAGCAUUUUCCCGGUGUGCAAUGCCCUUUACUGACGUGCAGCCCCCAGUGAGGGAUGUGCUGAUGGCUGUGCUCUCUGAGGAACAGCAUCGCUGCUGUGCUGCCCACAGCCAGAACUGCUGCAUGGUGCCCCAGCUCUCUGUGGGAUCACAGGGAGCUUUCCUGGAGGGAAGAUGCUCUCUAAAUCCUGCUUAUCUGGCAAGAAGAUUUGCAAAAAAGGAGCCCUCUGCCCCCUCAUCUUGCACAGACGGUCUGACUCACUGGACUCAGGAUUCCCAUCUGGAUGUCUCUUUGAAAGAUGGGUGCAAGCCAAGGAGUUUGUCUAUUCUUAGCCUUAUCUGUUAUAAAGAUAGUUUUCCCCAUAAAAAUCUCCUGUCAUUCAGCCAUCUCAGAGAACACCUGUCUCUAAGCAAAACCAGCAGCAGUGUGAAUCCUAUUCCCUGCUCAUUUUAAUGCGGUGUUAAUAUCAGAGCCUGAUGGAGAUUAUAUAAGCGCUGACAUAGCUGAGGAAAACCGUGAAAGAAACAAAAAUAAAUGGAAGUCAAAUAAUUUGAACCCUGUCA